AUGAUUCAUUGGAACUUAUGCCUCAAUUAUCACCUCCCAGCAGCAAAGAACUGGUGGGAUCACAAACCUGCAAAAGUAUUGGAAAAUGAGCACGCAAAGAUACUGUGGGACUUCCGAAUCCAGACUGACAAAGUUCUGGAACACAACACACCAGACAUCACAGUUGUGGAAAAGAAAAAGGUUUGGAUCAUUGAUGUCGCCAUCCCAGGUGACAGUCGCAUUGACAAAAAACAACAGGAAAAACUUAGCCGCUCUCAGGACCUCAAGAUCGAACUUCAAAGACUCUGGCAGAAACCAGUGCAGUUGGCAGAUCAUGAUUUUGUCAAUGUUUCCAAAUGCCGGCUGAGAUCUUUUGGCACUGCACCCAAUGUGCCGAUCACCACCGGGACCACCUGCACUGGUUUCUGCCAGAGUCUUUGAAGUUCAAUCUUGAGGUCCUGAGAGCGGCUAAGUUUUUCCUGUUGUUUUUCGUCAAUGCGACUGUCACCUGGGAUGGCGACAUCAAUGAUCCAAACCUUUUUCUUCUCCACAACUGUGAUGUCUGGUGUGUUGUGUUCCAGAACUUUGUCAGUCUGGAUUCGGAAGUCCCACAGUAUCUUUGCGUGCUCAUUUUCCAAUACUUUUGCAGGUUUGUGAUCCCACCAGUUCUUUGCUGCUGGGAGGUGGGACUUGAGGCAUAAGUUCCAAUGAAUCAUUUGGGCCACAUGGUUGUGCCUCUGUUUGUAGUCUGUCUGUGCGAUUUUCAAACAGAGGCAUAAUGAUGUGGCCCAAAUGAUGAUGAUGAUGAUGAUGAUUAUUAUUAUUAUUAUUAUUAUUAUUAUUUAUGAUUGAAAGCCCUUGGUGAUGCAGCGGAUUAAACCGCUGAGCUGCUGAACUUGCUGACCGAAAGCUUGCCAGUUCAAAUCCGGGGAGCUGGGUGAGCUCCUGCUGUUAGCCCCAGCUUCUGCCAACCUAGCAGUUCGAAAACAUGCAAAUGUGAGUAGAUCAAUAGGGAAGGUAAUGGCGCUCCAUGCAGUCAUGAUCUUGGAUGUGUCUACGGACAACGCUGGCUCUUUGGCUUAGAAAUGGAGAUGAGCACCAGCCCCCAGAAGUUGGACACGACCGGACUUAACUUCAAGGGGAAAACCUUUACCUAUUUAUGAUUGUGUCUUCCAGGAUUUUAUGGUGGAUCUUGGAGACGUUUGUGGUUACGGCAACAGUGCCAUGGUAAUAAAUCUAAAUCCGUUACCUUUGUGAGACUUGUUUUGAGACAACGUAAUUGGGUCAGAAGGAUAACUGCCAUAUAGUACGCAGAAAGUGUGUUUUCUGUGCAAAACAAAAAAUCCAUAUGGCACAGAUUUCACGCUUGCUCUGGCAGGGAACAAUUGGGACACAGGUCGCCACACAAUCAGGCAAUAAAUCCUCCCCGUUCGUGCUUGGCCCACCUCUCCCCCUGCUCCCCGAUCGUACUUACCACCGGACCAUAAAAGCCCCAGGGAUUCAAGGAUAAUAUUAUCUCAGACACAUAUCAUACCCGGUUCGGUUGCCACUCGUCUCAAGCAAAUGUCCUUAAUAGACUGACAUUUUCAGGCGGCUUGACAACUGCUUUCCUGGCAUUGUUAGCCUGGUUUGAAAAUAGAACCCAAAAAAAGUAGCUCGCUGUUGAUAGCUGCCAGGACCUGUCCAACCAUCACCUUUCAGGACGCAUUGAAUUAGUGGGCGCUUUGUCCGGACAGGUUUGCAUUGGGAUCUGUCACCAUAAUUACUUGUUCGUCAUUUGUAUGACUAACUGGGUUCUGCACUGAAAGGCGAAGCUUGUCAGCACCAUUAAGCCGGAGGAGUGAGUGGAGGGAUGGGAAG
This is a long non-coding RNA of Anolis carolinensis (green anole), 1839 nucleotides long. The record is from Ensembl. Lineage: Eukaryota; Metazoa; Chordata; Lepidosauria; Squamata; Anolidae.